UUGAAACUGGAGGCCAAAGCUCCCUAUUGGGUAUACCUGUGAGCACCUGGCCCUUCCUUUUUAUCACUGAGAGAUGCACUGUGCCUACAAAGAUCUUCACAGAAAUGUGUUGCUUGGUUUCCAGAACAAUCCCAAAUACCUCUGCUGGAAUCCACCAACCUGCUAGUUCCAGAACCUCCGCUGGUAUAAAACAGGAGGGUCUUAUUUACUUUUAUGGAACCACAGCUGUUUACACUUCUUGCACAGCUGACCUUCAUGUUUGAACCAAAGUUUCCACUUACCUUUACAACACUGACAGGAAACCACCAGGACUAGGAUGACCAGGAGAGCUGUCCUCAUGGUGACUUUGAAGAGGGUUUUCUUCUGGAGUUGAGUUGUUUCUGUCUUCUCCUGGGAGCUGCAAAGUGAUACGCUGGAGCCAAUGAGCUAUCACACUUGGACUUCUGCUUCUAGCAAAGACACCCAUGCUGGACAGAUCACAAAGCUGAAGCUAUACAUGAAGUAGUCUCCUUCUCAUCCAGAUCUGGGGAUUGAGCCUGAGGCUGACAAUCCACUAUGUGAAAAUAUCCUUGUCACAAAAAUAAAGGAAAGAUCUCACCAGGCUCAGUCUCAGAUCCUUGUGUCAGAGGGUAGUGCCCCAGUGAACCAUAUGACAGGUACUAGCUACACUAGUGUCUCAAAAAUUCCACUGCCCCAGACUUGUUUUACCCAACCCAGAGAUGGUA
Alligator mississippiensis (American alligator) is the source of this 725-nucleotide long non-coding RNA. RefSeq lists it as uncharacterized. The record is from RefSeq and is a predicted model, not a curated record. The transcript has 3 exons. NCBI's taxonomy places the organism in Eukaryota, Metazoa, Chordata, Crocodylia, Alligatoridae.